This is an RNA transcript of Ctenopharyngodon idella (grass carp), 8773 nucleotides long. It is a transcript of the gene named IQ motif and SEC7 domain-containing protein 1-like, with no coding region annotated. NCBI's taxonomy places the organism in Eukaryota, Metazoa, Chordata, Actinopteri, Cypriniformes, Xenocyprididae. The record is from RefSeq and is a predicted model, not a curated record. The transcript has 16 exons.
CGACGUCGCGCGUUUGCAGUGUAGACAGCUGCGUUGUUGCGUCGCGUUGCAUGCUGCGUCACAAUUUAAGUGCUUUCUGGUGUAAGGCCAGUGGAUUUAAUAUUCUCUUCUGAACUGAACUGUGAUGGAAACUAUAUUUAACCUAUAGCCAUAUUAUAACCUCUAGUGGCACAAAGCCAGAGCAAGGCAAGAGACGCAGAGUCAGUGUUUCACAUCAGCAUGGCUGAGCGCGGGACGUGCGCUCCUGUCAUACAUCACAACGCGUCAUUUUAUCGGGGAAACGGGGAACAUUUGACCCAGGUUAGUGAGGUUGAAUGAGAAGACGAUGGACAGCCGGACCGAGAAUCCAACGAAGGCGGCGGGCUAUCUGAAGGAGCUGAAUAAGAUCAUAGAGACCCAGCAGACGCUGCUGGAGCGGCAGAAGAGUCGCAUCUUUGAGCUGGAGCAGCAUGUGUCCGACCUGUGCGCCGAGAACAGCCGCCUGAGGCACGAGUACCAGCGGCAUCUGCUCACCUGCAGACUGCGCUCCGUCCGGGACAACAGCCCGCAGCAGCAAUCAGAAUACGGCAGCACAAGAAUCGUCAGAAGACACGCCUCACUUCCUGUGGAAGUGACGGACAGUCCCAGCAGCCUCAGAUCGGCCGUGUGCAGGAGAACUGUGCCCAGCCGACAGUGGACCUCUGCAACUCUCGGUGUGGAGGGGAAUAUUCAAAACAGCGAGCCUGGCCCUUCCUUGGACACCAGCAUAGGAUAUGGCCAUGGCCCUGUCACUCACAGUUCUUCCUUGAGUCCCGACCAGUUUGAAGGCUCAGCGUACAGCCACAGCAUCCAGCCAGGCCCACAGCGCCCUCAGCGACCCAAACUACAACACUCUCAAUCUAUCCUCCGCAAGCAGGCAGAGGAGGAGGCCAUCAAACGCUCACGCUCCCUCUCUGAAAGCUAUGAGCUCUCCACAGACCUUCAGGACAAGAAGGUGGAAAUGCUUGAGCGGAAAUAUGGAGGCCGUUUCAUAACCCGCCAUGCUGCACGGACCAUCCAGACAGCUUUCCGCCAAUACCAAAUGAACAAGAACUUUGAACGUCUCAGGAGUUCUAUGUCGGAGAACCGCAUGACCCGCAGGAUUCUUUUAUCCAACAUGAGGAUGCAGUUUUCCUUUGAAGGACCCGAGAAAGUCCACGGCUCUGUUUUUGAGGGGAAGCAAAUGUCUCUCCUGGAUGAUACCAGCCAAGUGGGAGCCAUGGUGCAGGCUGGAGAGAAGGUUCCCGUUAUUUUGGAGGCCCCAGAACCCCAAAACGAUUUAACAGAUACAAUCACAGAGCUAGAGGACACUUUCUCAAGGCAAGUAAAGUCAUUGGCAGAGUCAAUUGACGAUGCACUGAACUGCCGUAGUCUACGCAGAGAGGAGAUCCAGCCUGAACAAACAGUUUGUCAAGAGGGCCUGCAGCAGGAGGAUGAGCUCCCUCAGCCUGAUGAGCACCACAAGCUGGAUGAGAUCUGUGACGUGACACUAUUUAUCGAUGAAGAGGAGCUCUCUCCACUGGUUCAGCCUUCCUGCUCUAUAGAUCAGCCAUCCAGCACCGAGUCUGAGCAGCACACACAGUCCGUCGGCUCCUCGCAAGAGUAUUGGUCCAUGGAGGCCAAGGAUGACAAGUUGGACACGGACACUAGCUACAGGAGCACUCCAUCCCUCGAAUGCCAGGGGCAUUCACAGCUCUGUAUGGACUUACCCCUGUUGACCAUUGAGCCUCCCAGUGACAGCUCAGCAGAUAUAAGCGAUCGUUCUGAGCAUAGUUUGGUCCAGCCACAAAAUAUUCAUGAACGGACUGUAGCAGGACCACAGGCCAUUCCCAAACACAUCUCACAUGGACUACCUCCUAGAGUUCCCUCCCUUUCUCGAGACGAAGAGCCACUUAGACACCGGCAGGUGGAGAGCCACCUGGCCACCAACGGCAACCGACAGAGCAAGACAGAAUCAGAAUUUUCAGAUGGAGACAAUGACAGUAUCAACAGCAAUUCAAAUUCCAUUGACACAAUAAACUCAGAAUCCUCAUCUAGAGAUAGUCUCAGCAAGCAGACCUACCACAAAGACACUCGCAACAGCUGGGACUCUCCAGCGUUCAGCAGUGAUCUCAUGCGCAAGAGACAAUACCGCAUUGGCCUCAACCUCUUCAAUAAAAAGCCAGAGAAGGGAAUACAGUACCUAACGGAGAGGGGAUUUAUUCCCGACACGCCCGUGGGUGUGGCCCACUUCCUGCUGCAGAGGAAAGGCUUGAGUAGACAGAUGAUUGGUGAAUUUCUCGGGAACAGACAGAAACAGUUUAAUAGGGAUGUUUUAGACUGUGUGGUGGAUGAGUUAGAUUUCUCAGGGAUGGAGCUGGAUGAAGCUUUGCGGAAAUUCCAGGCUCAAAUCCGGGUUCAGGGGGAGGCACAGAAGGUGGAGCGCCUGAUCGAGGCUUACAGCCAGCGCUACUGCAUCUGUAAUCCUGACGUGGUCCGUCAGUUCCGUAACCCUGACACCAUCUUCAUCCUGGCAUUCGCCAUUAUCCUCCUCAACACAGACAUGUACAGCCCCAACGUCAAGCUGGAACGCAAGAUGAAGCUUGAGGACUUCAUCAAGAAUCUACGAGGGGUUGAUGAUGGAGAGGACAUUCCUCGGGAGAUGCUGGUUGGGAUUUAUGAACGGAUCCAAAAGAAGGAGCUCAAAACAAAUGACGACCAUGUGUCUCAGGUGCAGAAGGUGGAGAAACUCAUUGUGGGCAAGAAGCAAAUGGGAUCGCUUCACCAUGGCCUUGGAUGUGUGCUGUCUCAGGCUCAUCGCAGGCUCGUGUGCUACUGCAGACUGUUUGAGGUCCCGGAUCCAAACAGACUGCAAAAACUCGGCCAGCAUCAGCGGGAGAUCUUCCUGUUUAAUGACCUCCUGGUGGUUACCAAGAUCUUCCAAAAGAAGAAAAAUUCAGUGACAUAUAGUUUCAGGCAAUCUUUCUCUUUGUAUGGGAUGCAAGUGAUGCUCUUUGAGAAUCAGUUCUAUCCGAAUGGUAUCCGGCUGACUUCAGUCAUUCCAGGUGCUGACUUCAAAGUCCUGAUCAAUUUCAACGCUCCCAACUCUCAGGACCGCAAGAAAUUCACCAGCGACCUGCGAGAAUCCAUCGCUGAGGUCCAGGAAAUGGAAAAGUACCGGAUAGAGUCUGAGCUGGAGAAGCAGAAAGGGGUGGUCAGGCCCAGUAUGUCUCAGAGCAUGUCUGGACUAAAGAAAGAGACGGGAAAUGGCACCAUGGGCCGCACUAGUCUGGAUGACACUUACGCCAUGGGAGAGGGACUAAAGCGGAGUGCGCUCAGUAGCUCCUUGCGUGAUCUUUCUGAAGCAGGCAAGCAUGGGUGCCGUACCAGUGCAGGAUCUCUAGACCGCAGUAUGGAAGUAAGUAGGCAGUGGGUAGUAAUUAUUGUAUUUAAUAACAUGUAAUGCUCAUUUCUUUGCACAUACUGUGCUUCAUGAGUCAAACGUUCAUUCUUUUUCUUGUAACUUAUUUAUUGAUGCCUAACCCGCCUGCCUGCUCACGCGCAUGCAUGAACUGCUCGCCUACUGAAACUAGAGCUUGUGCAGAUGGUAAGAAAGACCUGACGCCUAUGUUUAAGAAUGCAUGUUUUUUCAAACAAUCUGAUGAUGGCUUCUUGAUGUUCCUUUAAUUCACUUGUGUCUGUUAGAUGGUUUAUGAACUUCACAUAUACAGACACAGAGUGAAGCUUUGUUUUUUACUCAAGUUGCUCGUCUUUGGUCAUUGCCUGGUGUCAAGCAGGGCUGGCGCCACAGGAGGGGAGGGCCGUGAGGGGGCGUCGCCUGGACUAUCCUUAGACUAUUUAAAAAAACACAAUUGCCAAGUGCAUAGGCUUUCUAGCAUUAAUAUUAUUAGGUUACUAUAGCAACAUUUUAGUUAAGGACAGUCUGUUUCAGUCACAUUUUGAGCUCUACUGGGUAGGCUAAAGGUAUGAUGAAAUAUUUUUUGUUUAGAGUAGGGGUCUCCAGACUCGGUCCUUGAGGGCCACUGUCCUGCAGAGUUUAGCUCCAAAUUGCCUCAACACACCUGCCUGGAAGUUUCUAGUAUGCCUAAUUAGACCUUGUUUAGCUGGUUCAGGUGUAUUUAAUUGGUGUUAGAGCUAAACUGUGCAGGACAGUGGCCCUCCAGGACCAAGUUUGGAGACCCCUGGUUUAGAGGGCUAGAUAAUUGGUCGUAGUUAGCCAAAAGCAGACACAAUUAAUUACUUUUGCUGGUGAUAGUAUAAUGGUAAUCUGUCUAUAUUCAUGGUUAAACCACUGAAAUUGUGUAUCAAAGACGUAUUUAUAUCUGGUGGUCUAAAGCGUGUUUAUUUUCGAAUACAUUGGCCUUGGCAAUUUUCCUUUGUUUUAUGUAGUAAUAUUAUUCAAUGCUCUGCUAUCUGUAUUUGCUCAUUAGCUUUUAGUUUCAUAGUUGUAUUAGUGACAGGUUUGUUUACAGUCCAACAAAUACGUGAAUGGGCCACAAAUGUUCUUCUAACUGGGGAUACUUUGUGUUGCGGCAUCGCCCCCUUUCUUUACGUCAUCGCCCCUUCUGCAGUGCUCCGCUGGCGCCAGCCUUGCCAGCAAGUCUCAUCAUGCUGACUGGAACUUCGAACACUGGGUCAGAUCAAGAAAAAUGUGGAUUCCAGUUUGGUUUUGUUCAUUAUAUUUCAUUCUGUCAUUUUGACAGGUGGAUGGUUUGAGUUGGCCUAUUGAUUCAAAGUGGAUUGCUGCUUAGUUCUUCUUACUUCAUCCAUUCAAAAUAUCUAACAUUGGGAAUCAAACAAUGUAAUCUUCUGUUAAAGAUAAAGAAAUAAGACAGCUGAAGAUGUGUCAAAGUUGAAUGCCUGAAGUACUGCUCACUCCAAAGAGCAAUGCGUUUUUGCAGCCCUGCAUGUUAAAGAUCUCUUCUUCCUACCUAGGUGCAUGUGCGAGAUUCGAGAUUGUUACAUUGAACAAUUUUAAUAUGAAUGUUCUACAGCACAUAUUCUUUUGAUUUCUACUCUACAAAAGGAUGAUUACAGCAAAUGCAGAUAUCUGUCUAAUGUUUACAUUUUGAGUCUGUUGAUUAACUCUUUCCCCGCCAUUAUACGGUAGGGGGCGCUGUUAUGCAUCUUCUGAAAGGGAACAGAAUAGAUAAUCAACCGAUAAUCAAGUUGAGAUAAUCAACCUAAUUAGCACAAGAGGAGGUAUAUAUAUACCCAACCUAUCUCUAUCCUACAACAGUUUUCCAGUAUUUGGCCCCGUUCGAUUGCUAUCAUGUCAGAGAUCAAAAUCUUUCCCUCUGAUGAUGAGUUCUCACUUCUCCUCGGAUCCUCCGCCGCAACCUGCUGACUCCAGGAUCACUCCCUCUCCGCCUGGUUCUGCCGCUGAGCCCCAGGCUUGAGCACCUGCUCCAAAGGGGGCCUGCACACCAAGACACCGAGGACUACCAUUGCCCCCACCAGUGACACAUCCGCCACACUCCCCGCAUCUUCUUAUACUUCGGCCAUCUCUCUCAUUGACAAAUGAACGGUAUUAGGAUUGAGGCAAGCGCUGAUAAACUCAGGCGUGCAGUUCUCACAGAGAAUGAAUAAAGCCCAGUCCUGUCGUGACGCCGUACGUAGCAAUGCCCUAGCCCGUCCUGCUGAAUGCUGCCGCAGUGUAACUGUGCGUAACCACCAGUGGCAAACAAAAUCUGAGCGCAAAUACUUUUAAGUACAGAUACUGACUUGGCCUCAUUUAUCUCUGCUCCCACCCAGUGAGUCAAAUCACUUAAUUGACUAGGCCAAUUUGUCAGUCAUUUUCAAGAACAUAGAUCAAAAUCUUCUUGUGUUCUUCCUGUUCUGAAUUUUGCAUCGCUUUCGGUCGCUACACCGAAAUAAUUUGCUCAGCGUUCCCCCAUAGACAGCACAAAUCAAACAAUGAUCACAUGAGCUUAAGAAACUGACAUAUUAGUAUACUAUUUAAACCCGAAAUCCAAUAAAUCCAACAGACUCCAUAAAAGGGGGUCUCGGGAUAAGAAAUCUCCAAAGUCCACACUUUACUUUCCAUUUCCAUCAGAUAAAAUGACAAAUAAAUGCAUACACCGAGAGCGCUCCACUACUGCUCCAUCACAAGCACAGUUAUGCCAUCUGGAUACUCAAUACAGAUUAGGUGAAUGCACAUUCAAAGAGUUUAUUGAACAGGUAUAUAAAUCGUCAUUCUAAACUAAUGCGCUGUUUCACCCCGGCACCGCCCCUCUCUCCUAACACUCUGCUCGAACCCAAAUCAUCAUAUGCUCUCUUCACCACAAUGCCGCUGGCCAUAUCACGAAUGCCAACGCCCUGGAACCCCCUCCCUUUGCAUAAACAUCAAAGCACACAUCCUUUCAGAAAUUCAGGCUGCUGGCUCCAGAGGCGGAUCCAACCCCAACCCAAGUACCUCACUAUUCUGAGCUGAUCUUCCCAUAAAUCACCCACUAAAACCUCUUCUCGACGAAUUGCUUGGCUCCAUCCUCCAAGCCAUUUCCACCAGAAUCCUCCAAUCAUGCCUGACAGCUAGGAGAGGUUUUAAGACAUUCCAUAUCAUGUAUAAUAUGCUGUUUCCUGAUUUUUCCCUGCUCUCCAUCUCAUCAUUUAUUUGUUAUCUUAAUAGCAUCAAAGGCCUCCAAACUAGUUCCAGUGGAAUCCAAUUCCUUCAUAAAUGAAUUUAUAGCAUAACCUCCCUUGAAAUAAACAAUGCACAGACCUCCCUCCUUAUGAAAGGUAUUCAAAGAUCCCAACCUCCCCACCCAGAUGCUAGACAACCCAUAACUCUGGACAUACUGACUAGAUGUAUCUCCACCCUUCACUCGGGCUAUCACUCCACAAAUACCGCAAAAGCAAACAGAUUAAGCUAAAAAUGCCACUUCAUUUACAUCUCCCGUCACCUAUUCAGCCGUACCAUUGUCUUGUCUUACUUAAACUUCAGAAGCUCUCAAGUCAAAUCCCCAUCCGACCCACUCUUCGUAGAUGACUCCAACCGCCCUGUCACACGUUUUUGGUUCCAAAAGCUCCUCAAAAUGAUUCUCAUACAAUCAAGCUGACAAUUUUUCCAGUCACUCAUUUUGAACAGGGGCAGCAACCACAGCUGCCCAAAAAGCUCUUACGUCACUCGCCUGCCAGCAAAGCUCACCCAUCUGAUGCCGUGAGCUGCAGGCUCCUCUCAGAUGCUGAAAAACAAAACAACAACAAAAAAUUCUCAUUCAGCCAGGUGUUCAGUCACUCAUUCUGCAUAGGGACAGCAACUACAGCAGCCCAAAAAGGCUCUCCCAGUAACAGAUCCAAACUCUUGGUUAAUGGUCAUCAGAUGUUUUCAAAAGUUUUAUCAGGUCUAAUCAGUUCCAUAUCAAAAAGCCCAUCAAACCCUCAUCAGCUAACCAGUCCAUGUUUUGUGAAACUUCAAAUCCACCGUAUCCACCCUAUUCAAACUCCAACAUUCUCAGCAUACCAAACUCAAAUAAUAACAGCAACUGCGGGCUCCCAGGUGGGGGCACCCUGGGGGCAGGGGGGCACCCUGUUUGUGGGCUCCCUCAAGUACAUCCGCAAAGUGCCAGUUGAGCCCUCCGAUUCGGUUUCAGUGAGAGCUCUCCCCUUUGUGCCACCGGGCGCCCCUCUUCGUGUUGCAGCGUGGGCUCUCAAUUCGGAGGCAGUGACGGGGUCAAUUCCUUAUGGUUUCGCCCUGCCCCCUCCAAUGCUGGUUGUGCCCUCCCGACUGAAUGCAGUGGGUGCCCCCAUUCAACUGCAGGUGGGGCUUACCCGUCCAAUGCCAUGAGCUCCCUAAGCUCCCACUGGAUGCUGUGAGAGCCCUUCCGGUCAAACGGGCAGACCCAAUCCCACAAAACCCCUACUCAAGCGGGCAUCCCGUUCGGCUUCUAGCAAGGCUUACCAACCAAAUAUCGUGAACAGCAAGCUCCUGUCGGAUGCUGUGUGAGCCCUCCCGGUCAAGUGGUUAAAAGAUUUGUGCACCCCCAUUUGACUGCUGGUGGGGCCGACCCAUCCGAUGCCUUGAGUGGCUAGUUCCUGUCGGAUGCUGUGUGAGCCCUCCCAUUCGGGCAGUUAAAAGAUUUGCGUGCCCUGUUCGACCACUGGUGGGGCCAACCCGUCUGAUGCUGUGAGCGGCUAGUUCCCAUCCGAUGCUGCGGGCAUUUAAAAAAAAAUCAUGUGAACCUUGUUUGUUGGCCGAUGGGGCUCAUCCGUCUGAUGCUGUGAUCUACAGGCUCCCGUCAGAUGUUGUGGGAGCCCUUCCGGUCGAAACGGCCAUGCUUUCCACUUUCGGCUGCCACCUGUCCGAUGCUGUGAGCAUUGAACUCCCGUCAGAUGCUGCGUGGGCCUCGCCGGUCAGGCGGUUAAAAUGACGCGCACCUUGUUUGUCGGCCAGUCGAGCGGCCAGGCUCCUUCCUGCAAAUGCCAGCCUGCCAAUUUACAGCAGACAAUUUUUGGGGUCUUCUAGUCAAUCCGUCUUCUGGUGGCUGUCCCUUGCUUAUUUUCUUCUUUGGAGGAGUACUCUGGGUUUGGGCCAAAUUCCAAGCCUAGAGGCCUCCUCUCGGACAGCAUGCCAAAUAUGCAUACUUUAAUUUCUAUAUCUGAUUAUAUGUAAACUCAUGAAAUGUUUUAUUAACAAAGUAUAAAUAUAGCCAACCUACCUCUAUCCUAUGACAGCUUUCCAGCAUCUCUCCACCACCCCAACUCCUCACUCUUAAAUAUUUCCUAUUCCGUCCAGGGAUGGGGGGAGUACUCUGGG